RNAcentral lists this ribosomal RNA (437 nucleotides) under uncultured Flavobacterium sp. RNAcentral's name for it is "bacterial SSU rRNA". It matches the Rfam family "Bacterial small subunit ribosomal RNA", at positions 1 to 442 of the family's 1533-position model. Lineage: Bacteria; Pseudomonadati; Bacteroidota; Flavobacteriia; Flavobacteriales; Flavobacteriaceae. The record is from RNAcentral.
CGCUGAGUUUGAUCCUGGCUCAGGAUGAACGCUAGCGGCAGGCCUAACACAUGCAAGUCGAGGGGUAGAGUUCUUCGGAACUUGAGACCGGCGCACGGGUGCGUAACGCGUAUGCAAUCUACCUUAUACAGGGGAAUAGCCCAGAGAAAUUUGGAUUAAUACCUCAUAGUAUGUGAGAAUCGCAUGGUUUUCACAUUAAAGUUCCAACGGUAAAAGAUGAGCAUGCGUCCCAUUAGCUAGAUGGUAAGGUAACGGCUUACCAUGGCAACGAUGGGUAGGGGUCCUGAGAGGGAGAUCCCCCACACUGGUACUGAGACACGGACCAGACUCCUACGGGGAGCAGCAGUGAGGAAUAUUGGACAAUGGGGCGCAAGCCUGAUCCCAGCCAUGCCGCGUGCAGGAUGACGGUCCUAUGGAUUGUAAACUGCUUUUUAGAC